AACGAACGUUGGCGGCGUGGAUUAGGCAUGCAAGUCGAACGCGAAAGAGGGGGCAACUCCUCGAGUAGAGUGGCGAAAGGGGCAGUAAGGCGUGGAUAACCUACCCUGAGGAUGGGCAUAGCCGUUCUAACGAGCGGGUAAUUCCCAGCGUUGUAGCGAGAUGGCAUCACCUUGCUACUAAAUGAUUUAUCGCCUUGGGAGGGGUUCACGUGAUAUUAGCUUGUUGGUGAGGUAACGGCUCACCAAGGCUGAGAUGUCUAGCGGGUGUGAGAGCACGACCCGCGCCACUGGCACUGAGACACUGGCCAGACACCUACGGGUGGCUGCAGUCGAGGAUCUUCGGCAAUGAGCGCAAGCUUGACCGAGCGACGCCGCGUGCGCGAUGAAGGCCUUCGGGUUGUAAAGCGCUGUCGAGGGGGAGGAAGCUCCGCGAGGGGUUGACCUAUCCCUGGAGGAAGCACGGGCUAAGUUCGUGCCAGCAGCCGCGGUAAGACGAACCGUGCGAACGUUGUUCGGAUUCACUGGGCUUAAAGGGCGCGUAGGCGGCUUGCCAAGUCAGGGGUGAAAUCUUUCGGCUUAACCGGAAAACAGCCUUUGAUACUGGCGAACUAGAGGGAGGUAGGGGUGCGUGGAACUUCUGGUGGAGCGGUGAAAUGCGUAGAUAUCAGAAGGAACGCCGGUGGCGAAAGCGACGCACUGGAUCUCUACUGACGCUGAGGCGCGAAAGCUAGGGUAGCGAACGGGAUUAGAUACCCCGGUAGUCCUAGCCCUAAACGAUGGGUACUAGGUUGUAGACUUGACAUGGGUUUACAGCCGAAGCAAAAGUGUUAAGUACCCCGCCUGGGGAGUAUGGUCGCAAGGCUG
This 864-nucleotide ribosomal RNA is filed under the name uncultured Planctomycetota bacterium. RNAcentral's name for it is "bacterial SSU rRNA". It matches the Rfam family "Bacterial small subunit ribosomal RNA", at positions 28 to 896 of the family's 1533-position model. Lineage: Bacteria; Pseudomonadati; Planctomycetota. The record is from RNAcentral.